UGUUUGACAGCAUACUCACACAACCACAUCUUCAAUUCUACCAUGUGCUCGAACAUCAAACCUUUCCUUAGGUAAGACAUCGAAAUCUCGUCAAGUGUACUACUUGGGAACUGUCUAGCCCCAGUUGUCUUGCUCAUGCCACCGUCGACAAUAGCCUUAUCUGCAAGGUUAACAUCACAAAACAAAGGAACUUUGUGAUCCCUACCAGUGAUUUUUGUGCACCACUCUACUUCUUUUUGAGUGAAGCCAUCCUCGUCCAACUCAUUCAUCGGGCCUUCAUCAUCCGAGUCAUCCACACAAGCACGUUGAUAGAUAAUGUUAGGAUCCAUGUCCUAAUGCCUUACUUGAGCCUCUACGUCACCAACGAUGUUGUGUUGCCUCUCAUACUCUUCCUCGAAGUCAUGAUCAUCAUCAUUGAUCGGUGCACUAC
Molecule: long non-coding RNA, 430 nt
Filed under: Hordeum vulgare
Lineage: Eukaryota; Viridiplantae; Streptophyta; Magnoliopsida; Poales; Poaceae
Description: long non-coding RNA (HVUL_LNC001139)
Source: RNAcentral